Molecule: long non-coding RNA, 1582 nt
Organism: Rana temporaria (common frog)
Lineage: Eukaryota; Metazoa; Chordata; Amphibia; Anura; Ranidae
Exons: 2
Source: RefSeq, a predicted model, not a curated record
GGUUCCCGGCGUGAACCAUCAAUGGUGACGGCAGCAGCCGACAGCUGAUGGGAAACAUCAGCUGCGGUGCCGACAUCGAGGGACAGCAGGACAGGUAAGUCUCCAUUUAUUAAAAGCCAGCAGCUGCAGUAUGUGUAGCUACUGGCUUUAAAAAAAAUAAAAAAUUCCCGGAACACUCCUUUAAAGCCAAGCUCCACCCAACAAUGUUCUCAUGUCUUCAGUAUUGCUGUAAUACAUACAACUGUGGUAAAUGAUGCUUGACGCUGAUGCAUCAUUAAAAAUACAGGUCUGUGCUAUGCAAAGGGGAUAAUUUCCCCGCACUUGUUAUACUCGGAGUCCAAUCUCCUUUGAAUCUACCAAGAACAUUUUCAACCAGGGUUCCUCCAGAGGUUGCUAGGGGUUCCUUGAGCGGUGUCUGAUUGACCUACCAUAUGAUGGUGCCUGCAGAGUUCUGGGUCCAACACCACUUGGCUCAGCUGUCUGUUAAGAGUGGCAUUCUGAUCACUGCUGUAAGGGGUAUUCUUCCCACUGAUCACCAAUGCAAGAGGCAUUUUCCCAGUUAUUCCCAAAUUAAUCUUAACAGGGGUUCCCUGAGACCUGAAAAGCAUUUCAAGGGUUUCUCUGGGAUAAAAAGACCUAAUUCUUCUGCUAUCUGCAUGAGUCACUUCUGACAUGUUUUUCUGACACCAAGAGAAAAUAGGUGAGGGUUGGUAGCUCCAGAGCACGGCCUGUGAUUGACAGCAUCAGCUCUGUUACUGUGUACUGUGUGAAGGCGGUGGCUUCCUACAGUCACCUCUCAGUUCUACUCACCAAGCUCUACAGAGUGUAAAUUCAGCUUCCGCCCCCUGCUUUCUGAAGCUCAGAGUUCCCUUGUAAAUUCAGGACUUUGAAUAUAUGUAGAGGAGAGAGGGCUGCAUAUAAAACAGGUACAACUUAUGUAAAGGGGUUGGUUUAAUUGUUUAAUUUAUGUGUGUCACCUGAGGCCAGUCACUUCACUGGGUAUAAGGGUUUGCAACCACUUUAAAUAAUAAUAAAAAAAACUGAUACAAGUACAUUCACAUACAAUAUAUAGAUAUCUAUACAUCUCAAGUAUGCCUCACACAAGAGAUAUGCAGGCUGUUAUUUUUGACCUUUUCUGAAAGUGCUUGUUACCUGGCUGGCACAAGUACAGAGAUAAGGAAUCCCAACUUUUUAUUUGCUAUAUGCUGGUUCUGGGUCUGUAACUCAGAAUUUGUGAAGCCAGACAAAGCCAAGCAUUUCAUAUUUUCAGCAGAAUGCCAACAAUGUCAGCCCAUCGAACCCCAGUCCCACUACUAAGCCCUAUCAAGGUAUGGUGCCUUUGUUAGUGAAAGUAUUUGAAAUGUAUGUAAAGUAACUAACACAAUGUAAAUACUAUAAUAAUAUUGUGAGAAAAUGACUAAAAGUGGACUUUAUUUUGUAGUAACAACGCACAGUGAAGCUGUAUAGCUGAUUUUGUAAUAGAGUGACCUACAUAACCACAGAUUCUUGGCGGUUCAUAUUAUACAAUGAGAAACCGGAGCGACCAAAAUGUUUACUAAUAAAAUUGUAAACCGAAAUCAAA